Molecule: long non-coding RNA, 1540 nt
Organism: Daphnia pulex (common water flea)
Lineage: Eukaryota; Metazoa; Arthropoda; Branchiopoda; Diplostraca; Daphniidae
Exons: 6
Source: RefSeq, a predicted model, not a curated record
GAUGGUGUCUCGUCGUUUUUCAUGUUAUGGCUGAUUGGGCUGUUUGUCAAAAUGUUUCUUAAUUUUUUCUACGAAAUCUACCGACUAAUUCAUGGGUAAAUUCAAGUUUAUUUUUGUGCAACUUGUUUGUGAUGUGAUUUAUUCCGUAUCUGUGCUGGAUCAUCUUUCAAAUUCCUCAAUCUAACAUGUAGCAAGGAACGGGAAAGGAAAUAGUAGCAUACAAGUAGCCUACCAAUCCUACCACCAACUCUUUUAUUAAAAAUCGUCGUUCUGCUGAAUUCAUUAUCCAGUUCAUACAGUUUCUAUUGAUCUUGGUAGGUCACUACUCGUCACUACCCCAGUGUGGACAUGUUUGUUUUUCUGAACAUGCUUUUAAAUAAUGCAUUGGCGUACAAGGAAGCUACGAAAAAUAUAUCAUCUAGGCCAAGGGUAAUCUUCAGGUUUAUUGCAGCAGCUUAAGAGAAGAAUGUGAACAAAUGCAGGGCACAUACCAACAUGUGUUGUAUUUUUCUGAAUGUUAAACACGCGAGCAGUAGAUUCAACAUGACUAACUGUUUGAUGCCAAAGUUAGUUGCCUAGUGGAACUCAACUCACUGUACGUUCUCUAACACAGAUAACUGGUGCUGUUGCCUUACAGCCACAGGCAGGAAAAUGAUUCUUUUCUUCAGAAAAUUUUAAGUUUAAUUUUUUGCGUUGACCCCCAACACUUUCUGUUAAUAUUAUAGAUUUUUAUGUUGAACAAGUUAAAAGUCUGAAGAGCUAACUAAAAACUGUGUGUAUUUGUGUCAUAGGGAAAGCUGCUGGAGUAAUCUGGUGUUCAUGCACAUUUGAUUCAUUUCGAGCCAGCCAGUGAAAGCCGAAAGACAUGUCCAAUUCAAGCUGAGCUGCUGCGUUCUGUCUGGAAGCAAGCAAUCCAGCCGUUGCGCCGUUGAGUCAUUUGAACAGGAAUCUAAUGGCUGUCAAUAGGUGGCUGUCAAAAGUUGGCUGGAAUGUCCACCAGGUACCGCCAGUGUCUUCAGGGACGCAUUUCGGCCAUUUUGUUCCAAGACGUAGCAGAAAUUGGUUGUCGGUUGUGACGUUUCUCACGAUGAAAAUUGAAAGGUGAUUUAGCAUGUGGAAACCACUUUGCCAAGUCAUUCAACUCAGACUUGGAAGUGCCUGUACAUUGCCGAAAUGGCGUGCCUCGUGUGUCUCGCUGUAUGUUCUUAGGCGUAUCAUCUCAUGCAACAGAAAAAAGUAUAACAAAUACUUCUUUAACGCUGUGGGUUUCCUUGUUGCUGCCAAAUGGUGAAAGGAAGAAGAGUACGAAGACGGAUUGAACCAUUGUGUUCAGCAUGCGGUUGCAGUGUAAUCCAGAAGUAGCUGUGAUGGUGUUAUCCUGAAAUUGCUGUGCUGUUGUAGCUGAGCUGUUCCAUCUGGGUUCCUGACUUGAAAAUUUUUGUGUUGUUGUUUGCCUGCCAGUAUUUUGUGUUGUUGUUUGACUGCUAGUAUUUUGUGUGUUCAAAUAGUUUGAUCUGUCGUCUUUUGAGUUUUCAUUCAA